GUAAGAGAAAGGUAUUUUUUACUCAGACAAUAUAGCCAGACAGACUUGAAUGCUAAUUGGUGUUAAGAUGUCUGUAGUUAAAAUAAAGUUGGGCCCAAUAAACUGGUAGAUCAAAGGCCUGUUGAGCGCUCAUGCCCGGUGUGAUUUUAACAAUUUACUCCAAAUGCGUUGACAAGAAAAUAAGUAAAACUGUUAUUGAAUGUGAUUGGUUGAUAAAAUCAACGUACUAUAGGCUACAUUUUGUCUGCGAUAUCAUCUCGGUGGAAGCGGACAUUAAAUGAAGUGAUUUCACACAAUUAAUUUAACAUUUAACAACGUGCUGAAAUGAUUUUGGAGCAGUGAUAUGUUUGACAAAUGUAAGCUAAUGGUCACAUAGAAUACAAGACCGCAGAAUCACAUUAUGAUUAAAGCAGAAACGGCUCGACUUGAACCAGCAGACGGAAGAUAUGGACGAACAACAAGAAGAAGUUAUGGAGGUCCCAACAACUGAACCUAUGGAAGUAGAAGAAUCGUUUACAGCCGAAACCCGAUACGGUGUGCCAGUUCCGGUCAUGGAGUCCUCCAUCUCAGACGAUGCCGACGUUAGUGUCUUCUGCGACGAAGAACCCGUAGUGGUGUAUACGCAGG
Long non-coding RNA from Patella vulgata (common limpet), 627 nucleotides. RefSeq lists it as uncharacterized. The transcript is spliced from 3 exons. Lineage: Eukaryota; Metazoa; Mollusca; Gastropoda; Patellidae. The record is from RefSeq and is a predicted model, not a curated record.